GAAACACCCAAGAAUUAUCAAUAAAAAAAUAAAUUAAAAAAAAAAAAAAAAAAAGAAUAGAUGCUGGGGAACAAUUAGCUGUGUGCAACAGAGUUUACCUUUUGGAAAGAUCUCUUGGGGGAAGGGUGGAGAAAGGGCUGGAUGGUAACAGAUCACAGCCAAAGAAAUAACCUGAACCAAGGCAGAGACAUCCGGGAUGGAGAGAAGUGGCAGAAGGCUUAUGAGAUAUGGAAGUUGAAUGGACAGGAUGUGUGACUAAUUGGCUAUACUUCUAAUUAACUGUACUUAUCAUAGCCUGUAUUUAUGCGAUUAACUAUUUAAUAUCUACGUUUCAGGACGGGCUCACACCUGUAAUCCCAGCACUUUGGGAGGCUGAGGCGGGCAGAUCACGAGGUCAGGAGAUAGAGACCAUCCUGGCCAACAUGGUGAAACCCCGUUUCCACUAAAAAUACAAAAAUUAGCUGGGUUGGUGGUGUGUGCCUGUAAUCCCAACUAUUCGGGAGGCUGAGCCCCAAGAAUCACUUGAACCCAGGAGGCGGAGGUUGCUGUGAGCCAAGAUAAUGCUACUGUACUCCAGCCUGGCGAUAGAGCGAGACUCCAUCUCAAAACAAACAAACAAACAAAAAAAACAAAAAAAGGCUAGGCGCAGCGGCUCACGCCUGUAAUCCCAACAUUUCGGGAGGCUGAGAUGGGCGGAUCACAAGGUCAGGAGUUUGAAAUCAGCCUGGCCAACACAGUGAAACCUCAUUUCUACUAAAAAAAUACAAAAAUAUUAGCUGGACAUGGUGGCGGGUGCCUUUCAUCCCAGCUACUUGGGAGACUGAGGCAAGGUGAAUUGCUUGAACCUGGGAGGUGGAGGAUGCAGUGAGCCAAGAUUGCGCCACUGCGCUCCAGCCCAAGCAACAGUGCAAGACUCUGUCUCAGAAAAAAAAAAAUCUCCCUCUCCAGGAGGAUUAUAAGCUCCAUGAAGACAGAGAUUGAGUCUGUUUUGCUUAUCACAGCAUCCCAGGGCCAGUGCCAAAUACAGUGCCUGGCAUACAAUAAGUGCUUAUGUGUGAGCGAAUGAAUGAGAUAAAAGAGGAGCAGCCAAGGACAAUAACAACAAUAACUCUGGGGACAAGUUUGAUUGAGAAAAAUCAAAAUCUUAAAGUAAACGUCAAACAAAAAAAAAUUUUUUUUUUUUGAGACAGGGUCUUACCCUAUUGACCAGGCUAGAGGGCAGUGGCACGAUCACAGCUCACUUCAGCCUCGACCUCUCCAAGUAGCUGGGACUAUACUACAGGUGGGUGCCACCACCUCUAGCUGAUUUUUGUAUUUUUCUUUUUCUUUUUUUUUGAGACGGAGUCUUGCUCUGUCACCAGGCUGGAGUGCAGUGGUGGGAUCUCGGCUCACUGCAACCUCCGCCUCCUGGUUUCAAGCGAUUCUCCUGCCUCAGCCUCCUGAGUAGCUGGAUUACAGGUGCAUGCCACCACACCCAGCUAAUUUUUGUAUUUUUAGUAGAGAUGGGGUUUUGCCAUGUUGGCCAGGCUGGUCUUGAACUCCUGACCUCAGGUAAUCCACCCACCUCAGCCUCCCAAAGUGUUGGGAUUACAGGCAUAAACCACAGCACCUGGCCUAACAGUUAUUUUUAAAAAUAAUUUCUACCAACUGUAAUCUGUCAUCCCCUUUCCUGACGGACAUUUGGCCCCCUUGAUGACAUCUCCAGCUGGUUCCAAAACUUUUCAGUCGUUUUUAGUUAUUAAUGCAGUCUCUUGUUUCAGCCAUUAACUUGGUCUUUCCAUUUUCGAAGGUCAGUCUCCUUUGGGACUCACAGUCCAGCAGGCAGGCCUAUGGCAUGGAGGGGAGAUGGGUCUGCUCUCUCUUGUCUGCCCUCUGGUGGGGAGAAACAAGAAGGAAAAAAAGGACUUGUUUCCUUAGAUGUCCCCUGCUGGCCCUUGGCUGACCUCUUCUUCGCUUCUCGCGAGGUGUCUGUGUUCCUGUCCUCUCAGACAUCACAGCUGCUCAGCUCCUUAUCUGUAGACACGGGGUGAUGGAGUAGCACGCUGCAAAAGGGCUUGGUGCCUAGUUGCUCUCCUCUGCUGGUGGCCUCUGGCUCACCCUUCACAGUGCACCUCUUUGCCCCCCGCAGGCCUGCUGCCCCAUCACAUCUACCCUCUGCAGCCCCAGCCUGGGGCCUGUGGACACAGGCCUGUCUCAGAAAAAAUCUCAGAAUCCAUCUUUCUGCCACUCCUUGCCACCUGAUCACAUCCUUGGCCUUCCCUCUCCAUGCCCUUUCCCCUAUUUCGUAGCACCAGGACAGGUUGGCAAGUGUAGUUGCUCAGCAAACAUCAUCAGGGAAGGAGAAGUCAGAUGCCCUCUGGUGGCACCGCACACCUGAUGAAUGAUUCUUUUGGCUCUGUUCCAGUUAGCUACUGUCCUAGUUAGCUCUGUUCCAGUUAGCUUGUGUAACUAACGGAUCAGCCUCAACUUCGAGGUAUAACACAAUCACCAUUUCAUCAUGGUCAUGGAAUCUGUGGGUCAGGAGUUUCACAAGGCACAGUGGGGAUGACUGGUCUCUGCUUACGGUAGGUGGCCUCCAAGAUGGCUCUCAAAGUCCCCUCCCCCCUGGUAUUCACCCCCUUGUGUAGUCCCCUGCCACACCAUAUCAGUUGGUCUGUGUGACCAAUAGAACAUAGCAGAAGUGAUAGUAUGUCGCUUUUGAAGCUAGGUUGUGGAAGAUAGUGUGAGGCUGGGCGCGGUAUCUUACACUUAUAAUCCCAGCACUUGGGGAGGCCAAGGUAGAAGGAUCGCUUCUACUUGAUUGAGAAAAGCCAGGAGUUUGAGACCAGUCUGGGCAACAUAGGGAGACCCUGUAUCUACAAAAAAAUUUUUAAAAAUUAGCCGGUGCAGAACGAGACUCCGUCUCAAAAAAAAAAAAAAAUUAGCCGGUGCAAUGACUCACACCUGUAGUCGCAGCUAGUUGGGAGGCUGAGGCAGGAGGAUUGCUUGAACACAGGAGGUAGAGGCUGUAGUGAUCUGUGAUUGUGCCACUCUGCACUCUAGCCUGGGUGACAGUGCAAGACUCUGUCUCAGAAAAAAAAAAAAAAGAAGAUAUUGUGGCUUCUGCCUCUCUGUCUCUUGGAUCACUCCCUUGGGGAAGCCAGGUGCCGUGUUGUGAGGCCAGCUGCCUCUAUGGAGAGGCCCACCUGGAGAGGAACUGAGGCUUCCUGCCAAUGGCCACAUGAAUGAGCUUGGAAAUGGAUCCUCUGGCCCCAGAGAAAGUAGAUGACUGCAGCCCUGCCGACAGCUUAACUGCAAUUUCAUGAGAGACCUCGAAUCAGAAUCACCCAGAUAUGCUACUCUUGGAUUCCUGACUAUCAGAAACUGUGCCCGUCCCCAGUUGGUGAGUUUUCCAGUGGCCGGAAGACCGAGCCCUAGAGUAACAGCUGUGGACUCACUGCCCACUCUGUGUUUAUUGGGCUGGAACCCCCUCUCUGUCCUGGAACUUCUGGUUGGAGAGCCCUCUGAGCUCAUGGGGCCUGUGAAUGGUGGGUCUUGGAGUGAUUUCCAGCCCCAGUGAUCAGGUGUCCUGUCAGUGCCCCUCAACUCCCUGCAGUCCCCUACUUCCCAUCAAGCCAACUCCCAAAUUCCAGGAUGUGACAGUUCCCAGGUCUACUGCCUUCCAGGCACUGAGCUCAUGUUGGGGACCCAGAAAUAAAUGAGAUACAUACAACCUC
This 3716-nucleotide long non-coding RNA is filed under the name Homo sapiens (human). Its description in RNAcentral is "HSALNT0291269". Lineage: Eukaryota; Metazoa; Chordata; Mammalia; Primates; Hominidae. The record is from RNAcentral.